GUUGACACAGGAACAGCAAUAAUGUGCAGUGAUCAACUGGGAAUGACUUAACUGUUAUGGAGGAGGAAAGGGUCCAGGACAGCUCCAAGGAAACAGUGAGGAAAAAGACCAUUGACUGCCAGAGAAAGAUCCGAUGGAGUAGGAAUGCACAUUGAAGCAGACCAUGCUUCACUUUCUUUCCUCCAUGAGUUUCUUCUUGGAUGUGUGAUACAGGCCUUCUUUUACACCAUGGUGAAUAUGGAAAUAGUUCCACCUCUAGUUAUGCAGCCAUUAUUGAAGACUGAAAUUGCUGUGGAAAAGGGAUUCACCUUCCUUACCACCACCACCAACUGACCAUCUGCCACUGACUGUUCUUUCUCUGGAUGUGGAUAGCGUUCUUUCUCAUACGUCCCUCAGAAUUGUCCUGAAUCAUUGCAUUGCUGCUGGUAGAGAAUUACAUUCGAUUGUACUACAGUGUAUCAGUCUCUGUGUAUAAGGUUCUCCUGGUUCUGCUCCUUUUGCUCUGCAUCAAUUCCUGGAAGUCAUUCCAGUUCCCAUGGAAUUCCUCCAAUUCUUUAUUCCUUUGAGCACAAUAGUAUUCCAUCACCAACAGAUACCACAAAUUUGUUCAGCAGUUUGUAAGAGAGAAAUGCAAGGAGCAGCUCAUGAAUGGGAGGUGCAAAAAGAGAAAAAAAAAAC
Molecule: long non-coding RNA, 678 nt
Filed under: Monodelphis domestica (gray short-tailed opossum)
Lineage: Eukaryota; Metazoa; Chordata; Mammalia; Didelphimorphia; Didelphidae
Description: lncRNA (ENSMODG00000039215.1)
Source: RNAcentral